This 427-nucleotide ribosomal RNA is filed under the name uncultured Burkholderiales bacterium. Its description in RNAcentral is "partial 16S ribosomal RNA". It matches the Rfam family "Bacterial small subunit ribosomal RNA", at positions 355 to 774 of the family's 1533-position model. Lineage: Bacteria; Pseudomonadati; Pseudomonadota; Betaproteobacteria; Burkholderiales. The record is from RNAcentral.
UGGGGAAUUUUGGACAAUGGGGGCAACCCUGAUCCAGCAAUGCCGCGUGCAGGAAGAAGGCCUUCGGGUUGUAAACUGCUUUUGUACAGAACGAAAAAGCCUACACCAAUACUGGAGGUGAAUGACGGUACUGUAAGAAUAAGCACCGGCUAACUACGUGCCAGCAGCCGCGGUAAUACGUAGGGUGCGAGCGUUAAUCGGAAUUACUGGGCGUAAAGCGUGCGCAGGCGGUCUUGUAAGACAGAGGUGAAAUCCCCGGGCUCAACCUGGGAACGGCCUUUGUGACUGCAAGACUAGAGUACGGCAGAGGGGGAUGGAAUUCCGCGUGUAGCAGUGAAAUGCGUAGAUAUGCGGAGGAACACCAGUGGCGAAGGCGAUCCCCUGGGCCUGUACUGACGCUCAUGCACGAAAGCGUGGGGAGCAAACA